CAUAUACUGAAUAUUUUCUGAUUCUUAUAGUUAAAUUUAUUCUUAUGUAAAUAAAGAUUUAUGGUAAUCCAAGAAUAUAAUCCAAGAAGUCGUUUAUUUUAAGGAAUUUCUGGUUUUUAGAGGUGUCAAUUGAAAUUGAUGUGAAAAAGUGACAAUAGCUGCAUGAACAUGACAACGAUAACCCGACUUCUCUUCAGUUGUCCAAUAAAUCCAACGGCUUUUACUAAAGAUUCCCGUGGAGCGAAUUUAAGAGUUUUAAAAGAUCAAAAACAAAAUAUACACUCAAAGUUUUGAUGUGCUCUGAUGAGAUGUGGUCAUCACCCCCAGAAGUAGCAGCUCCGUACUCGUCAUGCUUACUUUUAUCUAACCAAUACAUAAAAUAUAGAGAUUAAUAUAUAUAUAUAUGAAUCAGGCCUAUUAUAUAUUAGUCUCAAAAUUAAUUAAUUAAUUGUUUAUAUUUGUUGACUUCGAAAUAUAAUUAUAAUUUUGAAAACA
Molecule: non-coding RNA, 495 nt
Organism: Bactrocera oleae (olive fruit fly)
Lineage: Eukaryota; Metazoa; Arthropoda; Insecta; Diptera; Tephritidae
Source: RefSeq, a predicted model, not a curated record